UGGUCAUACCCCAAGAGGCCUUCAGGUGUGGUUGGUAGCGAAGGAGGGGCCUCUUUGCCUCAGGUGGAACAGCUUUGCAGUGGCAGUCAUGCUCUGUGGCUGCCCGUGGGAUCAGGCUGAGUUUUCUCUGUCCUCCAGAAAUCUUUAUGAGUAGCUGCUCAAAAGGAUGGGAAGCACUUGGCGUAAUAGUCCUAAGAAAAUCAUCCUGUCUCAACCAGAGCUUGAUCUUCUGCCUGCUGCUCUCAGGCUUGAUCAUGAGACUUGCUUUGGCCAACAACCUGCGAGUGGAGGUGAUGUUUGCUGUUUCUGGGCAGAAGCUCUAAGAGCUAGCCCAUAGUUCUCCACGUCCUCUCCCUGCAUCUGUCUUUGUUAGGAUGUCAGCUUGGGUUCUCAGUGAUUCAAAGCUGGUUGUUGACCCAGGAUGGAUGUGCACGAUUUUUAUUGUAUUCUUGCACAGAGAGUACAAGAGCAAUAUCAAGAAACACACAGCUCUAAGAUUCAUAAGUUGAACUCCAGCCCCCAGCCUGGCCGCGUUUGGAGAUGGGAAUUCUUAGGAAGUUAAGUGAGCUCUAAGGGUGGGGUCCCCGCCUCAUAGGAAUAGUGUCUUCUACGAGGAGACACCAGAGGGCGCUCUCGAUGCUCCCACUCCGAGGAAAGGCCAGGGGAGGACCCAGCGAGAAGGUGACCGGCGGCCUGCAAGGGGAAAGAGCCCUCAUCAGGAAUUGCAUCAGCCAGCACCUUGAUCUUGGACUUCUAGCCUUCAGAACUAUGAGGAAAUGAAUUUCUGCUGUUUAUGUCACUCGAUCUACACUGUGAGAGCUUUCUGUUUUUCAGAAUGCAAUUCAUACAAAAGGAAGUAUUUCAGAGAAGACUAUCAUGACUUUUUUUUGGCCAAGCCUGUGGAAGUUCCUUGGCCAGCAGUAGCCCUGUGAUCAGUGACAAAGCCAAGUCCUUAACCUCUAGGGCACCAGGGUUUAUGGUGAAACUGGAGCAGUGAAUUCUGGUGGAAUUACUUGGGAAUACAGGCAUAUGCAUGACAGUCUGGGGAAGCCAUGUUUGUGUUGUUCGAGGUGAAGAAUUAUCAUCAAUAUGCUGCUUACAUCAUAGGCUGUCCAGUGAAGAUGAAGUUUCCAACAAGGGCCUAGAAGCUCAUGAGCAUAAAGUGCUGGUGCCCUCUCAGGAAGGCUGUGAGCUGGAAGUCACUGUAUCCAUGGAGUGUGGAAAAUUCCAUCCUGAUAUGAGCCUGCAAUACCCUCCAGGGAACUAAUCUAAGAAGCUUGGCAGGUGGGGCAGGAACUCUUAGGUGGGGGUGGUUUCUCUGUGGGGCAAGUGACAGAGUCAUGGUCAGGGAGGCCCUUCUGGUAAGAGAAGUGUCAUGGUUACGGUGACUCUGAGUGUAAGAUGUGUUGGCAAAUGGAAGAGAGAAUGGCUGGAUUAAGAACUAGCUGGGUUGAAACUAGGGGAAAUUGAUUGGGAUGAAAGGGUUGGCCUCCCCUUUAGAAAGGGGCUAAAAGUCCAAAUCACCAGGGCUACAAAGACAUGGCAGACUUUAAUCUACUCUUUCCCCAAGGGCCCAAAAGCUCUAAGGAGGGCUUGUCUAGGGUCCUGGCCCAAAACACAUCAGACCUCCCUGGAUGUCCUGAACCGGCACCUAUAGGAGAAGGGCUUGAGAUUCUUUGGGUUUUUUUGUUUGUUUGUUUUGUUUUGUUUGGUCUUUUUAGGGCCACACCCCAGGCUAGGAGUCUAAUCGUAGCUACAGCUGCUGUCAACGGAGGAUCCGAGCUGUGUCUACAACCUACACCACAGCUCACAGCAAUGCCGAAUCCUUAACCCACUAAGCAAGGCCAGAGAUCGAAUCCACAACCUCAUGGUUCCUAGUCAAAUUCAUUUCUGCUGCGCCAUGACCGGAACUCCGGAUUCUGUGUUUUUAAUGAAUGCACCUGAGGAAUUUUUAUGAUGGUAAGUUUGGUAAACACUGCUUUAGUCCCGCCCAGGUUGGGAUCAGAAUUCUCUUACCCAAAAGGCUGGGCAAGAUUGAGAAGCAGGGCUUCUGGUUUCAGAGGGACAUACAAGCAGUCUGUUAGGAGGCAUCCUGGAGCUAGGAUGCUGUCUGGGGGAGCGGGCUGCCACUUCCUGGGUGCUGGAUUUAGAGGACUGAGGUGUUCACAGUGAGGCUCCGGUGCUCAUGGGAACCGAGGUGACCCUGAGGGAGAGAAUGGCAGUCACGCAUCCCAGCCACAGGUGAGGGCUCUUGACGCAAACGGAAGAUUUAGGCUGGGUAGGAUUCCUAUCUCAUGGCCCAGGGAGGCUGUGGGGAAAGGCCGCUCACUCGUGGGUCAACAGCAGGGGGCGUCUCUCCUGAAAAGGAUCUUGUUCUUGGAUGGUAACCACUGGGGUGAACGGACGGUCCUUAGGAAACCAGAGCUCACCACGGAGACUAGACAGGCAGCGAGGUAACCAGUGUGUUUCAAGCCUUUCUCGUUGGGGUCCAGAUGCGAAAGGAGCUGGUGUCCUUGAAGUUCACGGUCUUGAGUUCAUCAGGGUGGCGGUGGGUGUGCCCUGGGAUAGCUGUCCCUAAGAAGAAGGGAGGACCUGAGCCGGGUGGCGCCGAGGAGCCCCUUCCCGAGGAGCCCCUUCCCACCUGGGAGCCCGCCGCCCUGGAGGGUGCCCUUGGGGUGGAUCUUCCUCAGGUGAGACCAGAGCAGGCAGGUCGAGGUGGGCGUGAGAUGUAAGGGAAUGAUUGGUUGUUUGAUCGGCCCAGAGUGGGACUUAUUGGACCGAGAGGUAAUGCUUUUGGCUCUGAUGGUUCCUAGAAACGGAAUGUUUGUGGCCCCACCGGCCCCCUAUUCAUAGUUUGAAACCUAAUCCCCAAUGUGAAGGUGUUUGGAGGCCCUGGGAGGCGAUUAGGGCAUCAGGGUGGGGCCGAUGCGGAUGGAUUCGUGCCCUUGUAAGCGGAGGAAGAGUCGGAGUUCUCCCAUCGCUGCCUGAGGACGAGGCAAGAACACGGGCUCAGGGAACAGUGAGCUGGCCCUCACCAGACUCAGAAUCUGCUUGAUCCUGGACUUUCCAGCCUCUAGGACUGUGAGAAAUAAAUGUCUGCUGUUU
Molecule: long non-coding RNA, 3105 nt
Filed under: Sus scrofa (pig)
Lineage: Eukaryota; Metazoa; Chordata; Mammalia; Artiodactyla; Suidae
Description: lncRNA (ENSSSCG00060057905.1)
Source: RNAcentral